UUCGACUAAGGUUCGAUUCGAGCGAAAGCGAGAAAGCGUUGCCGCAGGCAACGACCCGAAGGGCGAAACGCGCAGCGCUGAGUCAUCCUUCCCCCACCACCA
This 102-nucleotide small RNA is filed under the name Salmonella enterica. RNAcentral's name for it is "partial RtT sRNA". It matches the Rfam family "RtT RNA", at positions 31 to 130 of the family's 130-position model. Rfam says of the family: This family represents a bacterial cis-regulatory element known as RtT RNA. The record is from RNAcentral. Lineage: Bacteria; Pseudomonadati; Pseudomonadota; Gammaproteobacteria; Enterobacterales; Enterobacteriaceae. RNAcentral also lists the same sequence under 2 other names.